This 1771-nucleotide long non-coding RNA is filed under the name Nicotiana tabacum (common tobacco). Its description in RNAcentral is "long non-coding RNA (NTAB_LNC016757)". Lineage: Eukaryota; Viridiplantae; Streptophyta; Magnoliopsida; Solanales; Solanaceae. The record is from RNAcentral.
GAAUACCAAAACUGGACAACAUUUUCAUGAAAGCACCAACACAACCUUCAAUAACGAUGCCUGCUCCGCUCACGGUCUCGGUCACGGCCAUAUUCUCUGUCUCGAUCAUAGUCGUAGGAGCGGUCUCUGUCUCUUCCCCUAUCCCUCUCUCUGCUUCUGCUCCGGUGCCUAGAUCUCUCUCUCUCAUCAUAAUCUCUUGAUCUUUCUCUGCUUCUCUCCUUUCUAUCUCGGUCAGCCACACCUGCCAAAUUAAAGAGUAAUCAGUCAGGAACACUUUGGUCUUCCAUCAAUUACGUUUCAGAAGCACGCUAAGCGCUUUCAUAUGGAAUCUCUUGAGGCUCAGGUGUAAACGGUUCAUCAAGCUAAAAGAAGGUGGCAACUAGUGAGGACCAACACCCGAAAGAACUGGGCAUCUUUUAAUCAGAUAAAGAAGAUUUUAGUAAGGUUUUAGUGCCCCCACUUGUAUGAAACUCCAACUUAUGCCCCUCUUUCGUUGAACUCAGCACAGAAACUCACAUGGUUUAUCCAAGCUCUUCCCUUCCAAUUGUUGAUGCCCAUACUAAAACACAGAAAAUUUAACGACGAAUUGCAUAAUGCUUCCUCACAUGCUAUUGGAGGUUAGAUGCUGGCUAUGUGAGGGUAGAAAGGUAAUUCUACCACUCUCUUUUGUAACCAGUUUAGGCAAUAACAUGGUGCUCAUCUAACAUUAGAAACAAGCACGCGAGGGGAUCAGAAAACAAUGGAGAUAAGUCAAAGCUUUGCAUCUUUAUUUAUAUCCAACACAACCAAGGCUGAAAUGUAAUAUGCAGUCUCUAUCCCAUCGUAAUGACCUGCUGUGGUGGCUCAAGACAUCAAUAAUUCCAUUUUCUAGUCAUAUCAAUAAUUAACAGCUAUAUAUGCUUUGAAUUCACUGCUAUGUCAUCGUAUCAUCUUCUAAGACGCUCCAAGAUCCAAACUCAUCUAAAUCAGCUAAAGCAAAGUAACCAAACUUCCUACAAUUGAGCAUUAGAACCAGAACGAGGAAAAUAAAAGAAAUUGAAAUAAGAUUUUAACAAAGAAUUUUAUUUCAACGAAGAUUAUACAUAGGUAAGAGAAUCAACUUAACCUUCAUCACCCAAAGGCCUCGAUUAGAACACCAGAAGCCAGUAACAGACAGCUCCAGCACUAGUGGGUGCCGUUUCAAACUCCAUUGUGGGAAUUUCCUAUUACCCUCCUCUCAAGCAGUGGUUCCUCAGCUGACCACACUAACAUUCUUCCAAUGGCAUGUAAGGGAAAAAUUCUUGGUUAAGUUUGUAGCUUUUAGUGAAGGUCUUUAGCAAUUGUUGAGCCAAAACCUCCUUUAAUAAUCUGCCUAACAAGAAUAUUACUACUAGUUGACUACGCCUUAAUCCCAAAACUGGGUGGAUAGGAUCAAGCCAACCAAUCUUGCGGACACUAGCUGAAAUCCGUCUACUAAAUGAACCAGUCUGAUCCACUAGACAAUGCCUUUAAGACAAAUUAUACAAGAUGCAUAGAACUUUUAAACUCCAGCAAAUACUGCUUGCUGACACACCUAGGAAUACUAUGGAGUCUGGUUGAUACUGUAGAAGCUGGGUGGAAAACAUAGACAGAGAAAAUGAAGAACCUUAAAUCCUUCAUUAUGGACAACACAUACAACAAAACUAUUGCCCCUACCUAAUUCCUCAGCUUCCCAUCCAGCGCGUCCUACUCCAGGGGGGAGGCUCUGGGCUGCUUCUGCUCGCUGCAUUUUAGCACGAAACUUCUUUUUCAG